AACGAACGCUGGCGGCAUGCCUAACACAUGCAAGUCGAACGAGACCUUCGGGUCUAGUGGCGCACGGGUGCGUAACGCGUGGGAAUCUGCCCUUGGGUUCGGAAUAACAGCGAGAAAUUGCUGCUAAUACCGGAUGAUGACGUAAGUCCAAAGAUUUAUCGCCCAAGGAUGAGCCCGCGUAGGAUUAGCUAGUUGGUGAGGUAAAGGCUCACCAAGGCGACGAUCCUUAGCUGGUCUGAGAGGAUGAUCAGCCACACUGGGACUGAGACACGGCCCAGACUCCUACGGGAGGCAGCAGUGGGGAAUAUUGGACAAUGGGCGAAAGCCUGAUCCAGCAAUGCCGCGUGAGUGAUGAAGGCCUUAGGGUUGUAAAGCUCUUUA
This 381-nucleotide ribosomal RNA is filed under the name uncultured bacterium. RNAcentral's name for it is "bacterial SSU rRNA". It matches the Rfam family "Bacterial small subunit ribosomal RNA", at positions 29 to 437 of the family's 1533-position model. The record is from RNAcentral.